This is a long non-coding RNA of Lutra lutra (Eurasian river otter), 13568 nucleotides long. RefSeq lists it as uncharacterized. NCBI's taxonomy places the organism in Eukaryota, Metazoa, Chordata, Mammalia, Carnivora, Mustelidae. The transcript has 9 exons. The record is from RefSeq and is a predicted model, not a curated record.
UUGAGGGGAUCAAUUCCUAAAUAUGUUGCUGCCAAACAUAGGGAAGAGAUUUUUAUGUCCUGAUAUAAAAAUAUACAAAGUCAUAAAAAUAAGCUAUUGCUAUGCUAUCACUACUUUUUAAUAUUUCUAGAGCCAUCUUAAUGCUCAGUGUACAAAUCUUAUGAUUUUUGAAUCAUAAAUUCUUAGACACAAGGCAUGGGGUCAGUUCCUCCUCUGUAGCCGAAGGCAUGCUGGGUAGCGGUUGUAUAACUAGUGUGACUGGGCCUGGGCCAAGCCUGAGCUCAGCCUCUUGGAGUUGGGGUUAGAGGAGUGAAUAGGACAAUGGGGAUCGGAGGGCUUUCGUCCCAGUCCUGACCCUGCAGGCACCGCCAUGGUCAUGCAUUUCAAGACUGGGCACCUUGGCGUCCCCCUCUGUGAAAGGGGUAUAGCCAGUCCACCCCUCCUUUCCCUGAUAGGUUGGUGUGCAGUGGGGAUGGAACAAGAAUGCAGGCCCAGGACAGGCUGGCAAUGUCUUUUAGAAAUCAUUCCUGCACAUUCUGAGGCCAGUGCCAUGACAAAUAAAAAUGUUUGCUGAGGAGGGCACUGCCCAGGAAAUCCAGCUCUGAUGGUUGAAGAAAGCCAUCUGGAAGUCUCCAAAGACCAGGGGUUCUGAAGAUGCCAAACAAGGAAAUGUGACAGUCUGAACAGUCAGCAGUGUCCCUGGGAUGGCGUACAAGGAACAAUCUGAAGAGGGACUGCCAGGAGCUGUCCUUUUACUGCACUGGCACCACGUGCAGAAGCCCAGGAUGGGCGGCCAAGGUCAUGUGCCCUCAUAGCCAGUGUCUGAGGACAUUAGAAGGAGCCUUAGACAUGACUCAGUGAAACGUUUGCUUGUGCGCAAGCAGGAGGAAAAGUUUUUGUUCCAAGAUCCCACAGCUAAUUAGUGGCUGCACGGAGAUGAGAAUGCCACUCUGCAGAUGCCAGGAAGAAGAGAAUUUGCAGGAUGCUGGAGGGAAGGCCCAGAAGGAGCCCUAUAUUCCCUGCAAGUAGCUGGCCUUGACCCCAGCGGGAUGCAGCUGGGCCCUGAUAUCCAUGGGCCCCUUCCCAGGUAAAAAUAAACUUCACAGUCUAUCAACUAUACUUCAAUUUUAAAAGGAAUUCCAGCAGCAGAUACCCAACUAUUACAAACCCACCUAUUACCUAUUACCACCUAUUACCCACCUGUUCCUGAGGAGGGCCUCGAGAAAUACAUUUCCAACAACCUAGACAGAGCGGAGAGCGAAGGAGUCCUCUGGGGUGAUGUCAGUGACACCACAAGAUCCCUGCUUUCCAGAACACUUACACCACCUUCUUGGUGGUGAAUAAAUGAGGGCCCUUUUCUCCUCUGAGUUCUGAGAAGAGCAGCAGGAAGAGGAGAAGUUUAUUUAUUGAGGACCUGCCAUAUACCAGGCCCUUUGCUAGAAAGUUCAGUGCUUUAUUUCCAAGCCUCAGUGUGAUAUCACAGGGAAAGAAUGAAGUUUUCCAACUCACAGUCGAGGAAAUUGAGGAUUAGGAGGAUGUCGUGAGGCUGGUGUUCAAAAGAACCUUUGUUGCUUAGUAAAAGCAAUCUUCUGUGGCCAAUGCAAACGGGAAGCUCCUUUCAAGGUAUAUAGUGGUGGCAGCCAAAGAGCUCAUCUCGGUUUUAGUAGUCUUUAUUUAGUCUCUCUUGUUUUUACGUGGUGCCCGGCUGUAUUCCCAUGUUGAAACACUUACAGGGAUCUCUAUGGGCGGAGCCUGUUCAGCUUCUUUUCCUCGUCCAACUAGAAACGCACUUCACUCUGUCAUGUCAAUCCAUCCCAUCCUCUCAGCUGGUCACUCUGAGUGUUCCAGAAGGUUGUUAACAGGCACAGAUUGUCCCUUCCGUCUAGCCAGGGCCAGAUGGCAUCGGCUGAUGAGACGCCGGCCAUGCUCUCUCUGCCCGCUUCAACCACCUCCCUGUCAGGCACUCCGGGCUACCCUGCCUGGGUACUGCUUCCCGUAUUACAGCCCCAGGGCCCUGAGAGCCUCCUUUCACUGGUUUCCAUCUGACCUUGAGGUUUGCUUGUGUUUAUCUGGAACCCUUCAAUGAGGGGAAGGUAGGAGGAACCCACCCACAGAUGAGCAGUCAGAGGUUCUGUCCAAACUGAAGAUCAAGUCAAACAUUUGAGGGUAAGUACAGUGGCCUUCUAAAGCUGUCCAGAGCAGUUCAGGGCUGCCCUUUGGAGAUUCUCAUUCAUUCCGGAAUUGCCCCGAAACUGCCAGUACUGACCGGGAAGUCAAGGCCUACGCUUCAGCAGAGCUCCAUCUAGCGGAACCGCCUUCAACUGCAAGCUUUAUGCCGCCAAGGGAGUCCCCGUUGCGUAAGGGAUCUGGCACUGGCUUCUUAUUUUCGGCUCUGUGUCAACGGGAUGAUUGGGCAUUUCCCAAAUCCAAAUAAGUCGUGUUAACAUAUCGUGGAUGUAAGCAGGGUGUAUGUUAACUGAGAGAGGCUACUUCAAAGCCUGAGAGCUUGAGUUCCACGUCCUCUUGACUCCGGGAGAGCAGAGUGGGAUCUUAUACUGGGAAGGAGUCUCUGGCUGCUGGAGUAGUGGAGAGGAGUAGGGAAGAAGAGGAGAGAACAAGGCACAUGUCCUGGAAAUUUCCAUGUAAGAUCAGGCAUGGGCAGAUUAAAUGAAUGCUGUCCUAAUGAACACAGAGGCAGACAGAUGAGCUGCCUCCCAGGCUUCGGAAGCUGGCUCUCGGCCACCCAGAGGGAAAAUCCCCAUCUCUCCCCACCCCGCCAGGCAGGCAUUGUCAGGACAUCCUAAAUGUUUAAAUUCUUUCUACAAUGCCUGUUGCCCAAUGUGUUCUGAACAUAAAUGAUUUCAGUCCUUUCAUUCCUCUCCUUUAGAGGCAGCUUGCUACAAUUUUGUAGGGUUAGAAUUUCAGGGAAUCAACUGCUCAGAUAAACUCUCACCACCCAGCUACCCUGGAACUCCAUGAGGAAUAGUGUAUCGUUUUCUAAGGCUGCUUUAAUAAAGUACCACGAACUGGUUAAAGCAAUAGAAAUGUACCCUCUCCCGGUUUUGGAGGCUGGAACUCCAGGAUCCAGGUGUCAGCAGCACGAUGCUCUCUGAAGGUGCCAGGAGAUAAUCUGUGCCUCUCUCCCAGCUUCCUGUGCUUCUGGCCAUCCCUGGCCUUCCUUAGCUUGUAGACGUGGCACACGAGCCUCUCCCUGUGGCAUUACACCGUGAUUUCCCAUCCUCUUCCCUCUGUGUGCGCCUGCGUCUUCAUGUUCCACUCUUCGUGCGUCUCCUCUGCUCUUCUCAUGAAGACACCAGUCACACGGAUCAGGGACUCAGCCUCCUCCAGUGUGACCCCAUCUUUACCUCCUUCUUGAUGCCAUCUUGCAAAGAUCCUAUUUUCAGAGAAGGUCACAUUCACAGGUACUGAUUGUUACGACUUUAACGUAUCUUUUUGGGGACACAUUCAACUCAUGAGAAAUAGGAAGGGACAACAGCAGGCAGAAACCACAAGACCAAUGCCAGUGUCGAGGGUGGGGGAGCACAGAGGCAGGGACUCCCCAUGGCGGUCGAUGGUUGUUUUCUCGAGUUCCCACAUUCUUAUCCCUCUAGAUACCCAUUACAGGAGGCUACAUUUGCAAACCAGACAAGACCCCAAUAUCACAUACUAUUAUUAGAAUAAGAUUCAAAAUAUAUUUUAAACAUAUGCCAUUUAUUUUUGGUGGGUGUGCUGGAAAUAAAUAUGACCCAUUUUAACACACUCUGUGCAUUUUCACUGAAAAAGAGCCAACCAGAAAUAUGCAGAAACUGGGGCACCUGGGUGGCUCAGUGGGUUAAAGCCUCUGCUUUCGGCUCAGGUCAUGAUCCCAGGGUCCUGGGAUCGAGCCCCGCAUAGGGCUCUCUGCUCAGCAGAAAGCCUGCCUCCUCCUCUCUCUCUCUGCCUGCCUCUCUGCCUACUUGUGAUCUGUCUGUCAAAUAAAUAAAAAAAAAAAAAAUUAAAAAAAAAAAAGAAAUAUGCAGAAACUUUCUUCUCAGUCAUUUUACCUAGGAUUCCUUCUUUCUCUCUCUUUUUUAAAUUUACUUAUUUGAGAGAGAGAGAGCGAGAGCAGUGGGGACAGGGAGAAGGAGAAUCCAGGCAGACUCCCCAUUAAGUGUGGAGUCCCACGCAGGGCUGGAUCCCAUGACCCUGAGAUCACUACCUGAGCUGAAACCAAGACUCAGAUGCUAAACCAACUGUGCCACCCAGGUGUCCCUCUAGGAUUCUUUCUUAUCUGCUAUGUUAUCUAUUUGCUAGAUAAUUCAGUAGAUCCUGUUGCACCAAAGCAUACAACACUCUUAUUCCUUAUAUUUUUUAUAACCCUAUUGCCUUAUUACUGAUAACACAAGCAUGUUUGCAACACUUAAGUGCUGUCCUUAUAGAAAAUCCCUCCUUUCAAAUAGACUUAAUAGCGACACUGAUCACUGGCUGAUUGCUUCUAGGGGCCGGACAUCACGCUAAUUGAUUUAUAUGCAUCAUUUUAUUUACUUCUUAAAAUAAGCUUAUGCUCUAAGUAUCAUUUCUACUUUACAGAUGAGGAAGCUGAGCUUGGGCAGCAGAGUAUCUUGCCCCAAAUCACACCAGCUGUUUAGUGGUGAAGCUGGAAUCCGGAUUCGAGUUCAUGAUUCAAAGUUGUACUGGGCUACCUUCACAUAACAUCUUCCACAGUCAGCCUGGCAGAUUUUCCUUGGCAAAUCUUGCCCCUUUUCCUUACCCCAAUCUCUGCCUCACAAGAAGAGCAGCUCAGGUUUAGGUAUGUAGACAAAUGCCAAAUGGUCCAAACCCAUUUCAACAUUCUCACAUUUUACUUUCUUCCUUUUUUUUUUUUUUUAGAUUUUUUUUUUAUUUAUUUGAGAGAGAGCAUGAGAGGAGAGAAGGUCAGAGGGAGAAGCAGACUCCCCAUGGAGCUGGGAGCCCAGUGCGGGACUUGAUCCUGGGACUCUGGGAUCAUGACCUGAGCUGAAGGCAGUCGCUCAACCACCUGAGCCACCCAGGUGGCCCCCACAUAUUACUUUUAACCACUAGAUGGAAAUGUGCCUAUUUUCUCAUCUCCAAAAUAUCUUGAGCUCUUUAACAAAUACAUUUGUGAAUUCAUCUCUCCUUUUUGGGCCCCUGAAAUUCAAGUGGCCACAGAGCCAGAACCACAUUAUUAGUGAGUCAGAACACAGAGAACUAGGCCAAUGAACUACCCUAUUCAUCACAUUAUUAAAAGUGACAAACAUUCCACAGCAAUUCCAGAUGGUGGUCGAAUCAACAAUCAAUUUACAUACAAUAGACACUAUAGGGUUAGAAACUACAUGAAUGUAUGUUUCAAUUCAUAAAGAGCUACAUCCGUGUAAUAAUCAUAAUAAAAAUUAUGUAUCUAAUGAAGGUGAAGAAGAGAUGAGCAACUUUAAAAAGGCCCUGGUAGUUUGCUAUAAAAUCACAUGUAAUCGUUACGGACUAUGUAUGGGCAGUGUUUCUGCAUGGAACACAGUACAUGAUGGAGGGGUUGUCGCAUCUGCGAGUAUGUGCUUGACCUCAUCGGGCAAUGUGCCAGGCCCAGUGUAAGGUAUGGUGUGUACACCGGUGAAGCAGAUAACAUAGCUCCUGGCUCGUGUCAUGGCCUACGCCAUGGCAGUUACAACACAGAGAGAUCUGCCCUGGGAGUUCUGUAUGUGUAUAUGUGUGUGUAUGUAUGGGUGUGUAUAUGGGCAUGUAUAAACGUAUGUGUGUGCUUGUGUGUAGAGAGCUGAUUUUCACUAUUCAUUUGUGAAUUCACCUACUCACUAAAAUAUAUUGAAAACCUCCCAAGUCAAUACCUGCGCUUCUGUGGUCAGUUGCCGAGAUGUGCGGAGUGGUCCAAAACGCGGACCCCUGAAGCGACACGUUCCCAGCUCGGGGUAAACCAGGCGGCGCUACCUGCAUGUUUGAGCCAUCACGCUGCAAAUGCGUCCUUUCUGCCAUCUACUUAGCGUCAUGUUUCUUGCAUUUUUUGGUGCUUUUUGUUGAUUUCGCUAUUUAAAAUGUCCCUGAGUGUAGAGUUGAAGCACUGACCCGUGUCGCUAAGUGCAAGAAGGCCGGGCUGUGCCUCACAGGGAAACCAGGUGGGCUAGAAAAGCCUCCUUCAGGCCUGCGUUAUAACGCUAUUGGCAUGAGCUCAAUGUAGUUAAUUAACAAGAUACAUUAAAUAAGCUGUCUUUUAGAGGAAACCCACAGAAAGCAAGCUUAAGUACUGACCAGCUGAUGAAAGAAAAUAGGAUCUAAACUCCAAGGAAACUAAACUAACCCUGUGUUUCCCCCAGGAGAAGUGGGGCAGGAUUCACGGCGACCUUAUGGACCUUUACUACUCUGAAUCAGAACAGACUCUUUGUCGUAUACACACACAGAGUUAUACAGAGUACUGGGAGAAUCCCACGUGCUCCUGAGGAACAGAGUAUCUACAAAAAUCAGUACGGCCGCUCGGCACCCCUCAGAUGAGUCGCAUGUACACAGAUGAGAGGAGGAACGUGGAGGAAGAAAAUGAUCUUUCUACCAGGAAGUGGCAAAGAAAAAUAAGGCUGGAGAUGCAGAACCCAGAGAGCGCGCUAGAGCGAGAGCCGACAGGCCUCCAAGCUCAGGAGAACCAAGUGCGAGGGGCCUGGGAGCCGUUGAGGGGCGGCCUGAAGAGCAGGACCCUGAGAGAGAAAUGACAACUCCCAACGACAAAUCGGAGGUCCUGCUCUAAGAGAAAGAGGGAAGUGGAAUGUAUAGACAAUAGGUACCCGAGCUGAGCUGACCUCCUUCUUGAUCCUUUAGAAUUGAAAUCCUGCUGAUGUCACGCAAAUCAUCUCUGUUUUGGACCUUGUCAGAAGUUUGAACCUGCCGUUCACAUCGGUCAGCGCCAAGUGGAACAUCACACUUCAUUUCUUAAGUGGUGACUUUCCUGACGCUGUUGCCAAUUUUAUAUUUUAUGCAUUACAUUUCCUUUUCUGAGUCAUAUUGAUGAAUGAAAAACUGUCAGAGUUUUGAGACAAAUGUAGGAAAACUAGAGAGAACUGUAAGAGAGAUGCAUUAGCUGCAGGGUUGGGGGUUGACUGGGCAGACUUCAGCAGACUGGCCAUUAGGCAGACCUGGAUAUGAGUUUGAUUAUUAAUGAGGGCAUCAUCGAUGAUAAAGGGGUUGUGACAGCAAGCAUUACAAGUAGUCAUUAUAUGCCAGAGUCAACUUAACACACUUUAAUCACCACAGCCAAUAUAAUUGAUUUCAAAGUCUUCAUAGCUUGAUACUCAAAUAAAUUGGUAGUUGGUGAAGCCACGCCCACUGAUGGUUUCAGUCUACGGUGGAAAAUCCAGUCCUAGCAGAAGAUGCUCACAGGGAAGAUUUUUUUCUUGUUUCCACCUAAGCCCAAAGACCCCUAAUAAAAAGUCUAGAUUAGAAAUCGCCUUCUCCAAGUGAUUUUCUGAGAGUGAACCCUACUCUCCUAGGACACAGCUUUUGACUUCAAUUAAACCCUCCUUGAAAUGCAGUUUGGUUAGUCAAAUAGAGGCACUGUUAUCUCCCAGCGACUCUCAGAAGAGCCCCACCAAGGAUAUUUCCAGGAGAUUUUUCCUCAAAGAGGGAACUCUUUGAAAGUUUUGCUCAGAUGCCUACAAUCUCCCUAAAAGAUCACAGGAGAAUAUUCCCAGCGGAGGUCUGACGUUACGGCACGUGCUAGCCUGGCUGAGAGUUACUGCACAUAAUUUUAUGCAGGAAGGUGCGAGCAUGCUUUAGACAUCCAAAUUAAUAUUCAGAAAUAUGAGGUGUGGUAAUGAAGAGAUUUUGGCAGAAGCAGUUGGGCAGCCCUUGACAAUUAGAGUUGAGAAAAUAUACUGAGAUUUCUGGAGCAUAAAUUAUGAAAUAACUUUCCAACUUGACAUUUACAGAAUUUCAUAUUUUCCAGCAUUCCCAAAGAGAAGACAGACGGCCCUCAGAGUCAAGCGUGUCCCUCCAUAUACUGAGAGGCCAAAGUCAGAGCAGAAAGAUGGUAUGUGCUGCACGUGGGAGAGAUAAGCAAGCAGAGCUCUGGAGGUCAGAAGUCUGAACUGGGUCUCGCUGGGCAAAAAUCAAGCUGUGGACUGGGCUGGGCUCCUUCUGGAGCCUUCAGGAGAACGUUUCCUUGCCUUUUCCUGCUGCCAGAGGCUGCUCCAUGGUCCCUGGCCUGCGUCCCCUUCCCCUCACUCACAUCACUCCCUCAUCUGCUCACAUCGGUUACCUCGGCCUCUUCUGUAGUCGGAGACCCACGGCUCAGCCUCCCAAGAGGCCAAGGGGGCUGAGAAAGUGAGGAGUGGUAUGGCCCCUGAGACAGGCCUGAGGAGUGGCUUUCCCCUCCCCUCACUCCCUUUGCAGCAGAACUUCUGAUGGGAUAAGCAGACAGCCAGGCCCAAAGCCACGAAGCUGAAGAUCUCUGUGUCUGAGGCUCGCUCGGGAAGAACACGGCCAUCCGCCUUCCCACCGGCUCAGGAGCGGACACGGCUCGCGUGGGAGGAUCCACAGCACCAUUCGGGACGGCCUUCCCCCAGAUCUUCUGGACAGACUCACAGCACCCGUGGGAAGCACAACCUGAUAGAGAAUUUCUUGCUCUUCUUGUCAAGUGGAGACUCAGAACUAUGUUUGAUUUGGACCAAAAAAAACGGUAACAGGACACGUUCUACUUGCCAUGUCGAUGCUGCCCCACAGCUGUUCGUGGAGAUGAGGCAUAACUGACUUUCAAAGCAAAUAUUCUGAUGGGUCAACUUUCCCAUGAUGUCACGAUUAUCUGCUGCAAGAGGCCUGGUUUUUGUAAAAUGAGUUUUCUAAGCUCCAAGGCUUUUAGGUCCCUUUCUUUUCUACCUUCUGGGCAUGGGCAACUCCUGAAAACAACAUGCAGACAAGCCUCCAGGUUUGGACUUUUAUUCUCCGUAGCUAUCAAGAGGGCCGGAUUAGAGCCCCCAGGGGCCUGUCAUCAGAACUCUCUGCCCUUCCCCCAGUUUUAACGUCCCCCCUGAGCAGAGGUCACAGCGUGCCUUCAGGGUCAGGUGGGAGGGUUAGAGGGAUUAGUUGGUCAAACCUGACCAGCUUUGGACUCCAACCAUCCAUCCACCCGGCGACUGGUCGGGAUGAGAGCCCAGACAUGUGGCAGGAGGAGCCGGGUCUCACUACGCAGCGACGCAGAUCAAACAGGAAAGACGGCUGCAUUUAUUCAGAAGCGUGAAGGAACAUUUGCUAUUUGAAACCUGAGGUGCCCGGUGGCAGCGGCUUCUCUGUUUGAAGGGCACCGGCAUCGUUCAUUUCUAUGCAAAAACGAAUCCUCUCCUGCUGGGGGGGAGCCGGGGAGGCCGAAGAGUCGCAGCCCCUGCGGUCUGUCGUCACCUGGAGCGGAUGGCCUGGUGCUCAGGGCACACGUAGGUGCCCUUGGCUGUGGAGGCAGGCCGGGGGCUGAGUGAAGGCCUCAGGGGCAGCUACGCUGCUUGAGAAAGUACAGGAUGGAGUCCAAGGUUAGGGGCAAAGGAAAGCACCAGCUGGGGGAGGGAGUGGCCAUGACGGACAAGACACAGAGGCUAUGGAGAAAGCUGCGCUGCGAGAAAACUCCAACAUCGGGGAUUUACGUCAUCGAUGUCACUUGCACUUCGGCAGGUGCCGAUCCUGAGAACGCUCCCUAACAAACUUCCAGCAGCUCGUCUCCAUCUCAGAGUGAGUGUCCCAGAGAACGCAACCCGCAACACCUGCGAUGGAACCACUCUCCAGAAGACUUUGGUAGAUGCCCUCAAAAGAGCUGUCCUGCUGCAAACCAGCGGCUGUUAGGAGACGGGAAGCUGCGCCUAACUCCUGCUUCCUCCUGCCUUCUCAAGCCGCUCAGAAACAGAACCUUGCACUCAACAGAAGCUCAUUAAGUAUUCAUUUAAUGCAAGAAAGAAAGGCGAUGCCACCUUUGCCACGUGCCUCUUCUUGCUGUCCAGACCACGACACCGUCUAUUCUGUCCCGGAACCUUGCGCUGUUUGAUGGAAGCUAUUCUGUGUUCAUCUCGGUCUCCCCGCUCCCUGUCACCGAGUCUGGUACACAGUAGGUGCUCAGGAAGGUAUGUCUUGGAAAAACGUUCCGCAGCCCAAGAGCAGUGUUUAAUCAUCUAUCACUGAGUCACAGCUAACCUCAAAGCUUUACCAACCCACUGGAUGGCUCAGUGGGUUAAGCAUCUACCUUCGGCUCAGGUCAUGAUCCCGGAGUCGUGGGAUCAAGCCCCGCAUCAGGCUCUCUGCUCAGCAGGGAGCCUGCUUCCUCCCCGCUCUCUGCCUGUCUCUUUCUCUGCUUGUGAUCUCUCUCUCUGUCAAAUAAAUUAAUAAAAUAUUAAAAAAACUAAAAACCUUACCAGCUUAAAAUGGCCAUCGUUACCUGCUCGCCAUUCUGGGCUUGGCUGGCCGGUCCUCUGUGGGGCUACUCAGGAGACUGCAGGGUCUGAGAAACCUUCGCUUGAAAGCCGGGGGCCACUGGCCAGAAGCCUCUGUCCUCGACCCUACGACCUCUUCCGCAGACAAGGGCAAGAGCCGCUCCCCCGCAGGUAGAAGCCCCAGCACCUGGUGUGUCCAGCGACUGCGGGGCUCACACCGCCGGCCCACAGCGGCCAUUACCGGUCACGUGACCCCGCCCCGCGGCGAUGUGGGCGGGGCUGACGCCAGGUGCAAUACACCGGCGGAGAGAUUCAUUAGAGUCUGUAAGUCGUGCCUCUACCUCUGGUCCCCAAGUUAACCCAGGCUUAGGCACUUAGGGCCAGAAUUCUGGAAGAAUUGUCUUCCAGGGGUUCCUAGAUGAUUGGAUCUUGGAUUUAGUCAGAGGCAGUCAAUCAAACAACAACAACAACAACAAAAUGACUAAGGAAUAGUUGGGCAAAACCCUAAGGAGGAGCUCGGUGCAAACCAUUGGACUGCCCCCGACAGCGGCAGCAGGUAAUUGGUGGUAAUUGCCACAGUGAAGAACAACCACCUCCUCUGACUCAGGCCGGCUCAGGCGUUCUAUCUCCUCCUAGACCUCUAAAUGUAAGGGGCCUGGCCACCUAGACUGGGGAGGGGAGUGACUCUGCUAACAACGAGGGCUGGGGCUGUGAAUGAAGGGAUCCGAAGAAAGGGUUCAGGGGCAGGUCUGGGACCUGGACGCAGAAAAGUCUCAGCCCAUACCCUUGGCUGCUGAAUUGGUCAGCAAAGGACAGUGGCUGCUCCCAGCCCUCCUACGUCCUAGUGCUUGGCUCACUAUGUACCCUGAAACCUCAGAGCUCAGCACCUAGUCCUCUCUCCAUGCAUCUCUUGGAACCCCUGAUUGUACUCUGCUCUGAGUAAUUAGUAAAAUUAGUUUGUAGUAAUUAUAUCAUUUCUCUUCUCAUCCCCUUUAACAUAGUAUCAACACUUAUGCAAAUUGGGGAUAUUAUCGAUAAUCAAGUAUUUAUAUAACAUCUGCUGUGAGACAGAAAUCAACUGAAUUAAGAAUUUUCAAGGUGAUCUGUUUCAAUUCUGGAGACUUCCAGAACUCCUAGGUCCUAGCUGGGAAGUGAUUUAUUUGGGAAGUAUGGAGGGAGAAGUGUUGUCCACGGCUACUAAUAAACCAGGAGAGGUGAAUUCGUGUUUGCAUGCAUUACAAAUCAAGGACAAGUUAGGAUCAGGAUAGACCACCCUGGGGUUAAUCGUGUAGAGAUACAUUUACUCCUGUCCUGGCUGUUAGGUUCUUUGGGGCAGUGCUGUCCACAGUAGGAAGAUAGGAGGUGGGAGCACCUCCUCUUUCAAAAUAAAGUCAUGUUUAUAGGUAUCCCAUUUAUAGGACUCCAACAUAUUUUGAGGAAACACAAUUCAACCCACAUACCACCCCCCUCCACAGGCCAUAUGUCUGGGAAAAGCCUUUCUUCAGUAGCAGCUGGGACAGGAAUGCCUAAGAGACUCAGAGCCCCAUCUAAGAUUUGGUCCAGAAGUCUCUGAAAUCCUGGAGGAAAAAACUGACCCCCAAAUUCUAAACCUUUAGUGGUUCUCCAUUGGGCUGAAUUCCAACUAGAGGCUAGAAGUCACCUUUGGGAGUGCAGAUGAUUCUUUGGGGAAAAAUACACUGAUUGCCCUUUUAUAUAUGCAAAUGAAAGCAUGUAUCCUGUUCUGAAAUAGGACGACUCAAGGUAAAGGCAUUUUUAUUAUAAGAUAAAAAUCUGUCUUCAUAAAUCUAUAAAGUGAUUCUGGGGGAAGCAGUUAGGCUUGGAUUCUGGGUAGGGUAGAAAUGGUUUUGAGUGCCUUCCUUUGCUUGGGGUGGGGAUGGGAGAAGUGGAUGGUGGCUGGGAGUAAGAGGCUAAGGAGCGAGUGACCCUGAAGCCGUAGGGAUGUGUUGGAGCUAGCUCCUGUAAAUUUGGGCUCCUGUAAAAUUGUAAAAUUGUCAGGGAUUUUGCAAGCUGGUUGAUAAGCACAGCCAUCAUUAGAAAUCAAAUUAUGUAGGGGCACCUGGCUGGCUCAGUCGGUAGAGCAUGUGACUCUUGACCAUUGGGGUCGAGAGUCUGAGCCCCACACACUGGGAAUCAGACUCCUCUAGCCCGUUGCUAAGCAUCUACCAACACACGGCUGGCAGGGGGACACCGUGGAGGCUCUGGGAGUUGUCCUGUUUCCAAGGCUGUUUGUUUCCUCUGCACCCGGAAAGGGGAAUCAAGGAGCAGGCUAGUGUCUGAGCCCAGGGCAAAUUAACAUAGAGGAGCCCAGCAGCAGGGCAAGCAGGUGACAAGGUGGCAGGAGGCGACGUGUACGUGGCGUGCAGCUCAAGCCACAUGGCUGACCUCCAGCGGUUCAUAAGCUAGGUGAGCUCAGCGCUCGCAACUGAGCUCUGCGGGCCCAGCUCCAUUCUGAAGCCCCCAGAUAAAAAAGAAUAUAUAAACAUAGCUUGUGUAUUCUCAGAAACCAUCUCACAAGGGAACAUCAGAAAGGACGGAGUUUCCCACCAUCCCACUGGCAGGGGCUCCCGCUAUGGUCUGGAAGCGUGAAAACCUCUCAGUUCCGGAAAGUCAACUGCGGUCUUCCUGACAGGCUUUCUCAAGACCUACAAUGACCAACUGUGCCCCAGGACCCUCCAAGAGGGGACCAUUUGUAGCAUUUCCCAAAGUUAGCUGUGCACAAAAUAUCUCAGGGGCUAACCCUCCAUGAAAACAGACUUUGGGAAUCUCUAACCUAGACACAUGUACAUUAUGGAAAAUGACCUGACCCGGCACAGCUCAGUGAUCCUGAAAGAAGGAGGUGCUUGUUACUUUCCCCACUCAUGACUGUGCUCAGGUGGGCCCACCCUUAGCGCCCUUCCUCCUCACCCCGUCCCCCAAAGUACACGAGGGGAAGAAAUCUUUUUGCAAUAAUCUACUGAGGAGCAGCAAACUGCAGGAUAUCGGCAACUCCAUCAUGUGGCCAAAAACAUCAAUGAGGGUCAGGGUCGCCAAAGUUAGCAAAUAAAAAUAUAGGAUGUUCCAUUAAAUCUGCAUUUCAGGGGCACCUGGGUGGCUCAGUGGGUUAAGCAUCUGCCUUCAGCUCAGGCCAUGAUCUCAAGGUCCUGGGAUGGA